GAAUUGACGGGGGCCCGCACAAGCGGUGGAGCAUGUGGUUUAAUUCGAUGCAACGCGAAGAACCUUACCUGGUCUUGACAUCCACGGAAGUUUUCAGAGAUGAGAAUGUGCCUUCGGGAACCGUGAGACAGGUGCUGCAUGGCUGUCGUCAGCUCGUGUUGUGAAAUGUUGGGUUAAGUCCCGCAACGAGCGCAACCCUUAUCCUUUGUUGCCAGCGGUCCGGCCGGGAACUCAAAGGAGACUGCCAGUGAUAAACUGGAGGAAGGUGGGGAUGACGUCAAGUCAUCAUGGCCCUUACGACCAGGGCUACACACGUGCUACAAUGGCGCAUACAAAGAGAAGCGACCUCGCGAGAGCAAGCGGACCUCAUAAAGUGCGUCGUAGUCCGGAUUGGAGUCUGCAACUCGACUCCAUGAAGUCGGAAUCGCUAGUAAUCGUGGAUCAGAAUGCCACGGUGAAUACGUUCCCGGGCCUUGU
This 477-nucleotide ribosomal RNA is filed under the name Shigella flexneri. Its description in RNAcentral is "bacterial SSU rRNA". It matches the Rfam family "Bacterial small subunit ribosomal RNA", at positions 907 to 1384 of the family's 1533-position model. The record is from RNAcentral. Lineage: Bacteria; Pseudomonadati; Pseudomonadota; Gammaproteobacteria; Enterobacterales; Enterobacteriaceae.